CACAAGCACCAGGGGCACCAAACAAGUAUGAAAAGAGACAGGCUAGAAUCUUGCAACUAUCAGAUGUAGAAAGAUGCUAUUGACACAAAUGUUAGGACCCACGCUCGACUGCAGGAGGUGGACCGUGACGGAGGUAUGCAGUGAGAGCGGCAGGACCCAGAGGAAGGAAGGAGGGAGCUGCUCUUGAAAAGAGACCAAACCACCGAUGAAAGGACGAGGUGGUGCCUUUCAUCAGUGUGGAAUCUGAAUAUAGCAGAGCAGUUCUGGAGAGAAUGAUGAGUUCAGUUUGGACGUGUUGAGUUUGAGAUGCAUGUGGACAUCCAGGUGGCGAGCUCUAGUGGCAGACGAGAAAAGCUGGAGGUGGGUGCUGGAGGCGUAAUCUGGGCCGUGGGGUAUUUACUACCAACUGGUGAUGCCUUCCCCCCAUCCACUUCAUCCCAGUCUUCCUGAUGCCUGGAUAGAAGAGUGUUGCAACAUCCCGAGGUGAUUUAUAGGGAAAACGUCUUGCACUGCCUUCCAAGUGGGAAUCUAAAACCCCACAUUCUGAUCCUAAGUGUAAUUUCCAGUCAUUUCCACCGACAACAUUUGGUUCUUAUUAUCAAAAGAUACUCACACAGAUGUAGCAUUAAAAAUCUUGGCUUCGAUGGAUAAAGAAAACAAGAUAAUCUAAAGUACUGCAGCAACUCUCAGACAUUUACGAUUCCAAGAAAUGGUUGUUGGAUAACUGCUCUAGAAUAUCCAUUUUCCAGUGUGUUUCUGGGUGGAAGAAAGCCAGCCCUUUGGUAAAUUUCAGGCCGUUCAUCUGAACCUUCAAUCAGGAAUGUCCUAGGGCCUUAGAUGGUGAAUUAGGCAUGGGCAUUUCCCCUUGAUGUCUCCAGACCUGACACACAUCCAGGCACACAGACAAUGCUCACUAAGGGUUUGCUGACUGAAAAAAGAAACAGCUGAAUACCUUAAGUCAGGACAUGCUAGGUUUUCUCAUUUGACAUUUCCUUUCAAAGGUUCCGAGGGCUUAAAUUACAGGGAAAGGAAGCUUCUGUAAGUCAGAAAUGGAAACAUAUUU
This is a long non-coding RNA of Aethalodelphis obliquidens (Pacific white-sided dolphin), 1063 nucleotides long. RefSeq lists it as uncharacterized. NCBI's taxonomy places the organism in Eukaryota, Metazoa, Chordata, Mammalia, Artiodactyla, Delphinidae. The transcript is spliced from 3 exons. The record is from RefSeq and is a predicted model, not a curated record.